RNAcentral lists this unclassified non-coding RNA (328 nucleotides) under soil metagenome. RNAcentral describes it as "partial contains 5.8S ribosomal RNA, internal transcribed spacer 2, and large subunit ribosomal RNA". The stretch from base 1 to 119 matches the Rfam family "5.8S ribosomal RNA", at positions 35 to 154 of the family's 154-position model. The record is from RNAcentral.
GAUGAAGAACGUAGCGAAAUGCGAUAAGUAUGUGAAUUGCAGAAUUCAGUGAAUCAUCGAAUCUUUGAACGCACAUUGCGCCCUCUGGUAUUCCGGGGGGCAUGCCUGUUCGAGCGUCAUUAUAACCACUCAAGCUCUCGCUUGGUAUUGGGGUUCGCGGUUCCGCGGCCCCUAAAAUCAGUGGCGGUGCCUGUCGGCUCUACGCGUAGUAAUACUCCUCGCGAUUGAGUCCGGUAGGUCUACUUGCCAGCAACCCCCAAUUUUUACAGGUUGACCUCGGAUCAGGUAGGGAUACCCGCUGAACUUAAGCAUAUCAAUAAGCGGAGGA